Molecule: ribosomal RNA, 675 nt
Filed under: uncultured fungus
Lineage: Eukaryota; Fungi
Description: eukaryotic LSU rRNA
Rfam family: 5.8S ribosomal RNA (bases 289-443)
Source: RNAcentral
AGGUUUCCGUAGGUGAACCUGCGGAAGGAUCAUUACUGAACGAAAUGGGUGGCAAGGCUGUCGCUGGCUUAAAUGAGCAUGUGCACGUCUUUUUGUCGCUUACUUCAUUCUCUCUUCCACCUGUGCACUCUUUGUAGACACUUGGGAUGUGAGAGAGGGGUUGGCAUUGAUUUGUCGGACUUCUCUUGAUAUUGAAAAUCUGGGUGUUUAUGUAUUUUUUGACAUACACGGUUGAAUGUCUAUAGAAUGAAAUUAUAGGCUCUUGUCAGCCUUUAAAUGAUAAAAUACAACUUUCAACAACGGAUCUCUUGGCUCUCGCAUCGAUGAAGAACGCAAGCGAAAUGCGAUAAGUAAUGUGAAUUGCAGAAUUCAGUGAAUCAUCGAAUCUUUGAACGCAUCUUGCGCUCCUUGGUAUUCCGAGGAGCAUGCCUGUUUGAGUGUCAUUAAAUAUCUCAAAACUCUUGUGCUUUUGUUGGCAUAGGACUUUUGGACAUUGGGAGUUGCCGGCUGCUGGUAAAGUAGUGGGCUCUUCUGAAAAGCAUUAGUUGAGGAGCUUUGCACUCUUAUUGGUGUGAUAAACUAUCUAUGCCAAGAGAUGCUUCAUGAUCCUCUGCCGUCUAACUGUCUUUAUAAGACAAUAUGAUAAACUUGACCUCAAAUCAGGUAGGACUACCC